This 2117-nucleotide unclassified non-coding RNA is filed under the name Hevea brasiliensis (rubber tree). Lineage: Eukaryota; Viridiplantae; Streptophyta; Magnoliopsida; Malpighiales; Euphorbiaceae. The record is from RNAcentral.
GCUCACUCUGUCUCCGUCCGUCAAUUCUUCUCCAGUGAAACGGGUCAAACAUUUCCGGCCACCGGGGAAGGCGAUUCUUCUCGCCGGAGAACUGAACUUUGUUCUGCCGAUAUCGUUUUCGGCUCUACCGCAUUCAAAUGCUACAUCUUUGAGAAGGAAAGAGAAAUAGAAAGUUCAGAUGGUUCCAAUAACAAGCUGUUUCUGUGUAGCAAUAGUUGCACUGAGUCUGUUCUCGACGCUAUCAGAAUCAGCAUCUCAAGCCUAUCGUAGAGAUCCUGGUCACCAACAGUGGCACCAUGGAGCUUUUCAAGACGUUAAAGAAAACGUUCGAUCGGAAGUUCGUCAAAUGCUUCAUUCUCGUGCCGAGGUUCCAUUUCAAGUCCCUCUGGAAGUCAACAUAGUUCUUGUUGGUUUUAGUGGUGAUGGGGGUUAUAGGUACGCAUUAGAUUCUCCAAAGCUGGAGGAGUUUCUGAAAGUCAGUUUCCCAUCUCAUAGACCCUCGUGUUUGGAGACAGGCCAACCACUUGAUAUUGAGCAUCACUUAGUAUAUAAUACAUUUCCGGCUGGACAGCCAGAACUAAUAGCUUUGGAGAAAGCACUUAAGGCAGCAAUGGUGCCUGCUGGAAAUGCAAGAGAGACUGAUUUUGGAAGAGAAGUUCCCCUUUUUGAAGUUGAGGCAACUGCCGUGGAACCAGAAUUUCAGAAACUUUAUUCUUACCUAUUUGAUCUUGAAAGUUGGGGGCAGUCUGCUGAAGAGAUGGAUAGACCAUGGCCUACUGUAAUCUUUAUUGUUAACUUUGAUAAGGUAAGAUUGGAUCCAAGGAACACGGACAUUGACCUGGACAGUUUAAUGUAUGGAAGAAUUACACAACUUAACGAGGAAGAGAUGAAAAAACAAGAAGGAGAUUACAUAUAUCGCUAUCGUUAUAAUGGAGGGGGAGCUUCUCAGGUUUGGCUUGGGUCUGGCAGGUUUGUUGUGGUUGACCUCUCAGCAGGUCCUUGCACUUAUGGAAAGAUUGAAACUGAAGAAGGAAGCAUUAGUUCCAGAUCAUUGCCGCGUUUGCGGAACGUUGUGCUUCACAAAGGAUCAGGUGUAGUAACUGAGCAUGCUGCUGAUGAUAUUUUUGUUGGGCAGCUUGCCUCUCUAGUUGCAACCACCAUUGAACAUGUCAUAGCUCCGGAUGUUAGGUUUGAAACUGUUGAUAUGACAACAAGGUUGCUUAUCCCUAUCAUUGUCCUUCAAAAUCAUAAUCGCUUCAAUAUCAUGACAAAGGGCUAUAACUAUAGUCUUGACGUUGGAGCAAUUGAAGCGGAGGUGAAGAAAAUGCUUCACAAAGAACAGGAAGUAGUAAUGAUUGGAGGUUCACAUGCUUUGCAUCGCCAUGAGAAAUUGGCUAUAGCUGUUUCAAAAGCCAUGCGGGGUCAUUCCCUUCAAGAAACAAAGAAGGAUGGACGUUUCCAUGUACAUACAAAGACAUAUCUUGAUGGUGCGAUCCUUAGAGAGGAGAUGGAACGAUCCGCAGAUGUGCUAGCUGCUGGUUUACUUGAGGUUUCUGACCCUUCACUCUCAAGUAAAUUUUUUCUCCGCCAGCACUGGAUGGAUGAGAAUGAUGGUACAAGUGAUUCCGUAUUAAAGCAUAAACCUAUCUGGUCUACUUAUAACCAGAAUCGAAAGAAGGAGAAGAAAAGAGCAGUAAAAAAGAAGCAAGGUGAUCUGCACCGCACAUAUGGUACCAGAGUCAUUCCAGUGUUUGUUCUAUCUUUAGCUGAUGUGGAUGAACAUCUUAUGAUGGAAGAGGAAAGUCUUGUUUGGACAAGUAAAGAUGUAGUUAUUGUACUCCAACAUCAGAAUGAUAAGAUAACUUUGAGCUAUGUUUCAGAAAUAGAGCGAAGGCAUGCUAUUCCAAUGCUAGCCCAACAACAUAUAUUGGCAGGACUGGCUUCUGUUGUGGGUGGGUUGAGUGCUCCAUAUGAAAAGGCUUCUCAUGUGCAUGAAAGGCCUGUUGUAAAUUGGCUCUGGGCAACUGGUUGCCACCCAUUUGGACCAUUCUCUAACACUUCACAAGUCAGUCAAUUGCUCAAGGAUGUCGCCCUGAGGAACACAAUAUAUGCACGUG